CGUAGGGACCAAGCGUUGUUCGGAUUUACUGGGCGUAAAGGGCGCGUAGGCGGCAAUUCAAGUCAGCUGUGAAAUCUCCGGGCUUAACUCGGAACGGUCAGCUGAUACUGCUUUGCUAGAGUGCAGAAGGGGCAAUCGGAAUUCUUGGUGUAGCGGUGAAAUGCGUAGAUAUCGAGAGGAACACCUGAGGUGAAGACGGGUUGCUGGGCUGACACUGACGCUGAGGCGCGAAAGCUAGGGUAGCAAACGGGAUUAGAUACCCCGGUAGUCCUAGCCCUAAACGAUGAAUACUUGGUGUCUGGAGUUUUUAUCCUCCGGGUGCCGUCGCUAACGUUUUAAGUAUUCCGCCUGGGGAGUACGCACGCAAGUGUG
This 372-nucleotide ribosomal RNA is filed under the name uncultured organism. RNAcentral's name for it is "bacterial SSU rRNA". It matches the Rfam family "Bacterial small subunit ribosomal RNA", at positions 526 to 896 of the family's 1533-position model. The record is from RNAcentral.